UCAUAUUAUUGUUUAUAUGAAGAUUAAUAAGAUUAAAGUAAACAAUGUGGUAUGUUUCCAAAAUAAAAGCUAUCCACCAAUGACCAACUGAUGUCGAUGCAAUUACUAGCCAUACAAAUGAUACAUACAUGUUGGUCACCAUACUUCCUUUAUUUAUAUUAUGACUAUUGAGUAAAUUUUUGCAAACAUUUCAAACCUGUACAUGUACAUGCUGUUUAUGUACAUAGUACUACAGUUCAGUGACUCAAGUUUAAAAUGCAUAAGCUUAAGGUCAUAACAGAAUUUAAACUUACUAUCAUAUUUGUAUAAACAUCAUGAUGAAUAUUUACAUUCUCUAAAAGAGUUUUAAUUUUACUUAACUAAUACAGAAGAUGAUGGAUUCCCCAACAGAAAUCUUGAUGACGGAUCAAGGUGAAAAAAAUUGAAGAAUUGCAUCAAUAGUUACAGAGAAUCGAUUUGCACGCAGAAACAGGUGCUCAAAGAUAAGGGAAUACAACAGCCAUCCAUGCUCCUUCCAUGUAAAGUAAGCAGCUGUCCGUGAUGCUUAUAGGCAUACACGAUCUAGUCUGGGCAUGUAAAACAGCAGCUGGUUCUAUUUUGAAAAUCUACAAAAUAGAGCUAAGGUCCUUUAAGCCAAGAAACUGCUAGUAUCUGAAGAGGACAAUUUAAGACAGGCCAUGAAAAUUGAUUAAAUGUCAAGUGGGAACAGUGAUUCUGUAAAUAAACUCGCCUGAUCACAAAACUUCAGAUUUGACUGUCACAAGAUUUUAAAUCUUACAUGGAUAGACUAAAGUCAUUUACUAGACUGUAAAUACUAGAGACAGCUGAAUGCACAAGGCAAAAAGCUGAGGUCUAAGUGAAUCAGAGAGGCCUUGUCACAAGAAAUGUACAGAACUUGCAUGGUUUUUUUUCCUUAAGGGCAUAUGACAAAAAAAUUGAGAGAUGUCAAUGAAAAUUUCUUUGAAUUUAAAAAAGGGCCAAUUCAAAGGUACACUUUUGGAAUUUGCAAGAACAAAAAUACCUUCAUGUUUACUUUUGAAUUAUAGUUGACAAUCUUCACUUUGAGGGGAACCUCUGAAAAUAAGUCAAAUGGAGGGGUUUGCCAGGUUUAUUGAAAUCAAUUAUUUUUGAAAGUAAAACAGAUGAAUUAUUGCUCUUUAAUUUCAACAUUUGCAUUUUACUAUAAAUAUUAUUUAUAAGUGCAGCAUAUCGGUGACAUCAGAUUAUGGUAUUGUGUUUGGUUAAGCUACAUAUUUCUUUUUACGUAAACUUUCUGUUGCCUUUACUGGUUAAUAAAAUGCUGAAUAAUAAUUUGAGUGUGGCUCAUUUCAGUGUCUAGUAUUUGCUGUCAAUUUUUGUGAUGAUUUUACCAUAUUAUUUAUAAUGGCUUGGCCAAAGGGAGAUAACUUUUUAUAUUUUCACAUUAAAAUGCUGGAUAAUAAUUUGAGUGUGGCUCAUUUCAGUGUCCAGUAUUUGCUGUCAAUUUUUGUGAUGAUUUUACCAUAUUAUUUAUAAUGGCUUGGCCAAAGGGAGAUAACUUUUCAUAUUUUCACAUUAAAAUGCUGAAUAAUAAUUUGAGUGUGGCUCAUUUCAGUGUCUAGUAUUUGCUGUCAAUUUUUGUGAUGAUUUUACCAUAUCAUUUAUAAUGGCUUGGCCAAAGAAAGAUUACUUUUUAUAUUUUCACAUUAAAAUGCUGAAUAAUAAUUUGAGUGUGGCUCAUUUCAGUGUCUAGUAUUUGCUGUCACUUUUUUCCUGUAAAAUUUCACCAUAUUAUUUAUAAUCGCUUGGUCAAAGGGAGAUAACUUUUUAUAUUUUCACAUUAAAUCAUCUGCGAAGAGGAUUAUGUAAAAUGUGAAUUUUAUGGUUCAAUAAAAGCAAAAUAAGUUACUGCCAUUCAUUAUCAAUCAAUUUCAAUAAAAAAUAAGGCUCAAAGAACUUUUAUAUUACUUAUAUUAACAAUAACAAUGUACACAUGUGUUGACGUGUUAAUACACAACAUCAGAGUGGGUGUGUCACCAUAAAAUGUAAACAUUGAAAAUAAAACUGAUACUUUUAACUAAUCAGGAAACAGUUAAUACACCACAUAUAUUUUUAAACCUAUAAACUUAUUAUUUUCUUCAAUUGUUUAAGUUCAUUCAGUAUUGAUAAAUUUUUGAUUGACAUUACAUAAUUUUGUUAAUAAAAGUUUAUUUGUGUGCUAUUUUAUUUAAUUGUACAUAUUUGAAAUAUAACAUUACACCUUAUUAUUUUUAUUCUUGCAUACAGCACUUGGAAUGAAAUCUCAUACCAUUUUAAUUAAAAUGUUCCAGCAGCAGGAUUGUUUUUGAAUUUAGCAAUUAUGUUGAUUAUGUAAAUAACGUAAUGUUUUUUGUUUUUUGCUUUUUGAAGUUUUUAAAAUUGACAAAUAAUGCUAGCAAGGGACAUUAUUAUUAUUUAUCUUUUUAUGAUGCCAAACUUGAAAUUUUAAAGUGGCUAUGUUUGCUAUUUGUUAUAACCCUAUUGUUAUGAUUCUGAAACCAUCUAUACAAGUAAGCAUUUUGAUUUGUCACUUACCAUUAUUUUAUUGAUUAGUUUGAAUUUGAUGAGGUUCUUCGAUGUAGAACUGGACUUAUUUAAACAAAAAAUGUUUUUUUUUAAUUGUUUGAUAGUAAAAUUGUAUUUCAAACAUUUGACAUUUUAUUUAAUUUAUCAUCAAAACAACUCUUAUUUGUCAGUAUCUGAAUAAAAUUAAUUUGUUA
Long non-coding RNA from Mytilus trossulus (common blue mussel), 2738 nucleotides. RefSeq lists it as uncharacterized. The transcript is spliced from 3 exons. Lineage: Eukaryota; Metazoa; Mollusca; Bivalvia; Mytilida; Mytilidae. The record is from RefSeq and is a predicted model, not a curated record.